UGCGUAGGUGGUCCGUUAAGUCCGUUGUGAAAGCCCUGGGCUCAACCCAGGAACUGCUUCGGAUACUGGCGGACUUGAGGCUAGUAGAGGUCACUGGAACUGACGGUGGAGCGGUGAAAUGCGUAGAUAUCGUCAGGAACGCCAAUGGUGAAGACAGGUGACUGGGCUAGUUCUGACACUGAGGCACGAAAGCGUGGGGAGCGAACGGGAUUAGAUACCCCGGUAGUCCACGCCCUAAACGAUGCAGACUAGACUGCAGCGGGUUACACCCCGUUGCGGUCGGAGCGAAAUUGUUAAGUCUGCCACCUGGGAAGUACGGUCGCAAGGCUAA
This 331-nucleotide ribosomal RNA is filed under the name uncultured bacterium. RNAcentral describes it as "bacterial SSU rRNA". It matches the Rfam family "Bacterial small subunit ribosomal RNA", at positions 568 to 897 of the family's 1533-position model. The record is from RNAcentral.